Molecule: long non-coding RNA, 561 nt
Organism: Setaria italica (foxtail millet)
Lineage: Eukaryota; Viridiplantae; Streptophyta; Magnoliopsida; Poales; Poaceae
Exons: 5
Source: RefSeq, a predicted model, not a curated record
GCACGUAUUUACGUGGCUGGGAUGCGAGGGUUCCGCGAGAGAAAUCCAGUGCACAAUUUCACUUGACAAUAUCAAAACUAAGAAACUCGGUAACUGUGCCCGUUGUUCCUCCCACCAAGACCAGCGUCCAGGCGUCCGCUGGCCUUUCCUCUCCAAUAGUGCCGUCAAAUGCUGCAGCGAAUGUGGAUUCUUCACCAAUUUGAUAGAUAUGCAUCAAUGGUGGAAGAGGGAGAAAGAAAGGAGAGAGAAGAGCUAUCCCUUGAUCAAGUCUUAUGCACAUAUUCCAAGACUAUGUGGGGCUGGUGAUUACAUUAAAGGAUGGGAUCAGGGCAUAGCAGGCGACGAGGGGAUCCCUCCAAUGCUCGCAGGUUCCUGAACCGAACAACUGAACUUUCAUUUUGUUGAAAGUAACUGAAUCCCUCCAAUUCUCAGGCAUCGUUGCGCCGCCGGCUGCAUCGCUUGGUAUCCUGCAGGGCUUGCGCGACGAGCUCCACUGAAUCCGGCGGCAUCAUCAGCCCUACCGGAAAAACUACUGGGUCAUCUUCCACGAUUUGCUUAUGA